CAAGUGCCAAGUGUAAAGUCUGUCCAGACGACUCGUCACAUUUGUGGAAAAGAUUACGGACCAAAUGACGCAUGGAAAAUAAACCCGGCUCGAGCCCAUGUACGCGACCGAAACAAAACAUAUUUUUUGGCGACGCCACCCUCGAAAACGCAUCGCCGCACGAAUGCACGAAUAGGUAGG
Long non-coding RNA from Anopheles bellator, 180 nucleotides. RefSeq lists it as uncharacterized. The record is from RefSeq and is a predicted model, not a curated record. Lineage: Eukaryota; Metazoa; Arthropoda; Insecta; Diptera; Culicidae. The transcript is spliced from 3 exons.